Molecule: ribosomal RNA, 403 nt
Filed under: uncultured bacterium
Lineage: Bacteria
Description: partial 16S ribosomal RNA
Rfam family: Bacterial small subunit ribosomal RNA
Source: RNAcentral
AUUGAACGCUGGUGGCAGGCCUAACACAUGCAAGUCGAGCGAGCGGCGGACGGGUGAGUAAUGUAUGGGGACUGCCCGAUAGAGGGGGAUAACUACUGGAAACGGUGGCUAAUACCGCAUACUAUCGGAUAACCCAUAUUGGAUUAGCUAGUAGGUGGGGUAAAGGCUCACCUAGGCGACGAUCUCUAGCGGGUCUGAGAGGAUGAUAAGACACAAAGGGACUGAGACACGGCCCAGACGCCAACGGAGGCAGCAAUGGGGGAUAUUGCGCAAUGGGCGUAAGCCUGAUGCAGCCAUGCCGCGUGUAUGAAGAAGGCCUUAGGGUUGUAAAGUACUUUCAGCGGGGAGGCGUAACCCGCAGAAGAAGCACCGGCGAACUCCGUGCCAGCAGACGCGGUAAUAC